ACAGAAAUUACAUUGAUGAUUGUGGAUAACUCUGUGCGUAAAAAGGUAUAAAGCGGGCUUUUGCUGGGGAAUGCAGCAGUCAGUCAUUUUUCUGCAAUUUUUCUAUUGCGGCCUGCGGAGAACUCCCUAUAAUGCGCCUCCAUCGACACGGCGGAUGUGAAUCACUUCACACAAACAGCCGGUUCGGUUGAAGAGAAAAAUCCUGAAAUUCAGGGUUGACUCUGAAAGAGGAAAGCGUAAUAUACGCCACCUCGCGACAGUGCGCUAAAGCGCGUCGCAACUGCUCUUUAACAAUUUAUCAGACAAUCUGUGUGGGCACUCGAAGAUACGGAUUCUUAACGUCGCAAGACGAAAAAUGAAUACCAAGUCUCAAGAGUGAACACGUAAUUCAUUACGAAGUUUAAUUCUUUGAGCAUCAAACUUUUAAAUUGAAGAGUUUGAUCAUGGCUCAGAUUGAACGCUGGCGGCAGGCCUAACACAUGCAAGUCGAACGGUAACAGGAAACAGCUUGCUGUUUCGCUGACGAGUGGCGGACGGGUGAGUAAUGUCUGGGAAACUGCCUGAUGGAGGGGGAUAACUACUGGAAACGGUAGCUAAUACCGCAUAACGUCGCAAGACCAAAGAGGGGGACCUUCGGGCCUCUUGCCAUCGGAUGUGCCCAGAUGGGAUUAGCUAGUAGGUGGGGUAACGGCUCACCUAGGCGACGAUCCCUAGCUGGUCUGAGAGGAUGACCAGCCACACUGGAACUGAGACACGGUCCAGACUCCUACGGGAGGCAGCAGUGGGGAAUAUUGCACAAUGGGCGCAAGCCUGAUGC
This 817-nucleotide ribosomal RNA is filed under the name Escherichia coli 7-233-03_S4_C1. RNAcentral describes it as "partial 23S ribosomal RNA". The stretch from base 426 to 817 matches the Rfam family "Bacterial small subunit ribosomal RNA", at positions 1 to 389 of the family's 1533-position model. The record is from RNAcentral. Lineage: Bacteria; Pseudomonadati; Pseudomonadota; Gammaproteobacteria; Enterobacterales; Enterobacteriaceae.